RNAcentral lists this long non-coding RNA (2807 nucleotides) under Equus caballus (horse). Its description in RNAcentral is "lncRNA (ENSECAG00000055174.1)". Lineage: Eukaryota; Metazoa; Chordata; Mammalia; Perissodactyla; Equidae. The record is from RNAcentral.
AACAGAUACUUCAGGGUUCCUAGGGCAAGUCAUUCCUCUUUUUUUGGAAAGAAGGAAAUUUUCUCAUAUUUUCCACAUUCAUUGAUUGCGCUGGUUUCAGUGAUAAAUAUGGUGGAACAGUGGUUCUCAAAUUUUAGUGUGCUCGUUUUCACCUGGAACGCGUGUUAAAACAGAUUGCUGGGCCCCAGAUUCAGAAUCUCUCAUUUAGUAGGUCUUGGGUGGGGUCCAACAAUUUGCAUUUCCAGGUGAUACUGAUAAUGAUGUUCAACCACUCUAAUGAGGGAACUGCCUCAUUAGAGGAUUUCUACCUUUUUUAUUAAAGCACAGGUGAAAAGGAAUUGGGGUUUUUUUUUUAAGGAAGAGGGCUUUGCCUCAGGUCAGAAACCCAAGGAUUUACUCAGCCUACAUAUUGUUCUAAGUCUGGAAGGCACCUCUGCUACCAAAAACCAUUUAGCGAUACUCGUCAAUCCAGGGAGGAGAAACUGUGCUAGUACAAUGGAGAUUAAAAAGAUGCAAAUUAAAUUCUUCCUUCAAGCUCACAGCAAAAUGACAUGAAUUUCUCAGAAACUCAGGAUAAAAAGUAUUCAAAGUCUCAACAGUAAAUUGGGUGGUUUUUUUGUUACCAAGAUUACCAGCUUGGGAGUUCUGAUAUCCAAAGUAUGAAGCUAUAAGUACAGUUUUGCUCUGAAAUAGCCUGGAGGUUGUGAAAGUUGAUGUCACCAGGGUCCAGAGUGUUGGCACAUGACUUCAAACAAGAGAUCAAAGUGAAUUUCCAGAGGAGUUCCAAGUGUGUUCUGAAGAUUCACCCGGAGCUAACAUCUGUGCCAAUCUUCCUCUACUUUGUAUGUGGGAUGCCUCCACAGCAUGGCUGAUGAGUGGAGCAAGUUCACACUGAGGAUCUGAACUUGCAAACCUGGGCUGCCGAAGUGGAGCAUAAAGAAAUUUAACCAGUCAGCCACGGGGCUGGCCCCCUGGAUUGAGUAUUUUUUAACUUCCAUUUUACUUAUUUCCAUUAUUGGAUUAUUACUUUUACUGCUUUUUAAAAAUGUUUGAUCUCAUGUGCUAGCAUUGGCAGUAUACAUCUCUAAUUACUUGCAUUCUAUCUUCACAUAAUAGGUAGGUUGAAGACUCAUAACAGUAUACUUCCAAUUCCACCUUUCCUGCCUUUGAGCUAUUGUUGCUAUAGAUUUUACUUUUAUAUAGUGUAUAAAGGCAUGAUAAAUUUGUGCUAUUUUUGCUUUAGACAAUUUUCUAUUAGUGUCAUUAAAAAUAAAAAAACUCUUUUGUGUUUACUUUCAUUUUAACCAUUUCUAGAGAUCUUUAAUGCUCUGUAUAAAUCUAAGCUUGUGUCUUAUAUCAUAUUCUUUCUGCCUGAAGAACUUCCUUUUACACUUUAUAGUGCAUGUGUACUGGUAAUGAAUUCUUUCAUCUUUUCUUUGUCUGAAAAAGAUGUUAAUUUGCCUCAUUUUUGAAGGAUAUUUUUGUUGUGUAUAGAAUUCUCAGUUGCAAUUUUUUUCUUUCAACAUGUCUUCUUAUUCUCAUACUUUCUGAUGAGAAAUCUGUUGUCAGUUUUACCUUCAUUCCUCUAUAUGUAAUGUGCCCUUUUUCUCUGGUUGUUUUUAAUAUUUUCUUUCUCUCUCUCUUUUUUUUUUUUUUUUUCUUUUCACUGCCUUGUAUAUAUGUCUAUUUUUUUUUAAUUAUUUAUCCUGCUUGGGAAUCUCUGAGCUUCUGGAAUAUGUGCAUUUGAUGUGCUUCAUUAUUUUUGGAAAAUCGUUAACCAUCAUCCUUCAAAUAUUUAUUCUGUCUAUUCUCUCUCUUAACUUCUUCUAGAUUUCAGUUGGUGUAUGUUAGACCAUUUGAUAUCAUCUUAUAGCCCUUGGAUGCUCUCAUCUGUUUCAUUCAGUCUCUGUCUCUUUGUAUUUCAGUUUAGGUAAUUUCUAUUGACCUAUCAUUAAGGUUGCAGAUUGUUUUAUUUAGCUGUAUCAUGUCUAUUAAAGUAAAAGUUGAGGGCAUUCUUCUUUUGUUUCUGUGUAUUUGUUUCUAGCAUUGUCAUUUGACCCUUUCUUAUAGUUUUCAUAUCUCCACUGAAAUUCAAUAUCUGUUCAUGCAUGUUGACCUCCGAUCCUGCUAGAGCCUUUCACAUGUUUGUUAUAGUGAUUUUAAAUUUACUAUAUGGUGGCUCAACAUAUGGGUCAUCUCUGGAUCUAUCAGUUGCUUUUUCUCUCGUCAGUAGGUUGUUUUGUUCUUGCUUUUUUGUAUUUUUCAUUGAAUAGUGAGUAUCAUGUGUAGAACAGUAGAGAGUGAGAUAACUACUAUUUCUGCUUGGAAAUGGGUCUACCUGUCUUCUGCUAGGCUGUUAUUGUGGGGUGUUAGGUCAGUCUAUUCAGAAGUGAGCAGGGUUUGGGUUUUGCUGUUGCUGUGGGUUCAUUCACUAUAUCCCCGGCUUCAAAUUCCUCUAGCAUUACCUCCUGUUUGGGGUGGGGUCUUGUUUGCCAUUGGUUUUUUUUGUUGUUGUUGUUAAGGAAGAUUGGCCCUGAGCUACCAUCUCUUCCCUAUCUUCCUCUUUUUGCUUGAGGAAGAUUGUCCCUAAGCUAACAUCUGUGCCAGUCUUCCUCUAUUUUAGGAGUGGGAUGCUGCCACAGCAUGGCUUGAUGAAUGGUGUGUAGGUCUACACUCAGGAUCUGAACCUGUGAACACCAGGCCACCAAAGUGGAGCAUGUAAACUUAACCACUACACUACCAGGCUUGCCUUUGCCAUUGGAUUUUCUUAAUGUUUCUGCUCCAUCUUGAGCAACAGACCUUCCCUG